GCGGUUCCGGCUGGGAACAAUACCCUCAGGGUCAGGAGGACAGGAUCUGAGUGCAGGCCAGCCAAAAAGAAUUGAGCAUACCACAAAAAAGUUCUCAUUUUGUGUCCUCCCAUCCCAUUCUCCUCACUAACCAAAGCCUCCCACUGGUCUCACUAUUGACAAUACCCAAGGCAAGGCACAGAGGAAAGGAGCCAUUGAUACAUCCAAUCUCUCACCUACCAAGCUGGAAGAAGAGUAGAGAGUGGCCAACCUCCUAG
This 257-nucleotide long non-coding RNA is filed under the name Gorilla gorilla gorilla (western lowland gorilla). RNAcentral's name for it is "lncRNA (ENSGGOG00000044320.1)". The record is from RNAcentral. Lineage: Eukaryota; Metazoa; Chordata; Mammalia; Primates; Hominidae.